UGGGCGUAAGCAUCUGUAGGUGGUUUUUAAAGUCGACUGUUAAAGCCCAGGGCUCAACUUUGGAUAAGCGGUCGAGUACUUAAGGACUUGAGUAUGGUAGGGGUAGAGGGAAUUCCUAGUGGAGCGGUGAAAUGCACAGAGAUUAGGAAGAACACCGAGGGCGAAAGCACUCUACUGGGCCAUGACUGACACUGAGAGAUGAAAGUUGGGGGAGCGAAAAGGAUUAGAUACCCUUGUAGUCCCAACCGUAAACGAUGGAUACUAAGUGCUGACAAAAUCAGUGCUGUAGCUAACGCGUUAAGUAUCCCGCCUGGGGAGUAUGCUCGCAAGAGUGAAACUCAAAGGAAUUGACGGGAACUGGCACAAGCGGUGGAUUAUGCGGUUUAAUUCGAUGAUACACGAAGAACCUUACCAGGGAUUGACAUGUUCAGAACUUUCGAGAGAUUGAAAGGUGCCCUUAUCUUUGAUAGGGGAGCUGAAACACAGGUGGUGCAUGGCUGUCGUCAGCUCGUGCCGUGAGGUGUCGAGUUAAGUCUUUAAACGAGCGCAACCCUUGUCUUUUGUUACCACUUUUUUCGAAAAGGACUCAAAAGAGACUGCCGGUGUAAACCGGAGGAAGGAGAGGAUGACGUCAAGUCAGCAUGCCCCUUACAUCCUGGGCUACACGCGUAAUACAAUGGCAAGGACAAUAGGACGCGAACCCGCGAGGGGGAGCAAAUCUAGUAAACUUUGUCUCAGUUCGGAUUGAAGUCUGCAACUCGACUUCAUGAAGCCGGAAUCGCUAGUAAUCGCCGGUCAGCUAUACGGCGGUGAAUACGUUCCCCAGUUUUGUACACACCGCCCGUCACAUGCUGGGAGCCAUCUUGUCCCGAAGACAGGUUGCCAACCUUUUAAGGAAGCGA
This 902-nucleotide ribosomal RNA is filed under the name uncultured bacterium. RNAcentral describes it as "bacterial SSU rRNA". It matches the Rfam family "Bacterial small subunit ribosomal RNA", at positions 555 to 1452 of the family's 1533-position model. The record is from RNAcentral.